GUGCUUACUCUGGGAGAACAUAUACUAAAAUUGCAAUGAUACAGAGGACAUCUCCUCUUCAGUGAAUGAUAAGAAAAUUUGUGAAGUAUAUCAUAUUUUU
This 100-nucleotide small nuclear RNA is filed under the name Phascolarctos cinereus (koala). Lineage: Eukaryota; Metazoa; Chordata; Mammalia; Diprotodontia; Phascolarctidae. The record is from RNAcentral.